UUGCGCCCUAUCCCCAUUGGCAAGACAAUUUACGAUGGCUUCCACCUAUGUCGGUGCUGGCGAGGAACAGCCGCAAUCGCCGGUGCGAUCGCCGCGGGAUCGGGAGCUGAGGAGGUCAUGGUCCUCGAAUUCGUCUACCUGCAGUCAUGGCACCGCGGCUGCCCCAAAGUGUGUAUGCGCUCCUCCGACGCAUGCUGGAUCCUUCAAGUGCAGGCUUCACCGGGUGAAUUCUCAGUCCGGGAACCACUCGGCCCCGACAACUCCCGUGAAUCAGCCCCCGCCGGCGGUGUCCUCCGCUUCUACUUGGACUGUUGAGGCACAGUAGUUGCAGUAAAUCCCUGUUUGUAUUCCCUAGUUAGGGGAAUGAUAUCUUCUUGAUAUCCUACCUUUAUAGUCCUUGCCCCUUCGCCCUCUUUUUUCUUGUGCGGUGUAUGGAGAGGUCUGAGUGGGUUACCUGUGUAAUCCGAUCUAUGGACAGAUGUGGCAUGUCCUAUGAUUGUGAGGUUAAUGUUACUUGUUUUUGGUAGCUUGAG
This 533-nucleotide unclassified non-coding RNA is filed under the name Hevea brasiliensis (rubber tree). The record is from RNAcentral. Lineage: Eukaryota; Viridiplantae; Streptophyta; Magnoliopsida; Malpighiales; Euphorbiaceae.